UACGUAGGUGGCAAGCGUUGUCCGGAUUUACUGGGUGUAAAGGGCGUGCAGCCGGAGAGACAAGUCAGAUGUGAAAUCCACGGGCUCAACCCGUGAACUGCAUUUGAAACUGUUUCCCUUGAGUGUCGGAGAGGUAAUCGGAAUUCCUUGUGUAGCGGUGAAAUGCGUAGAUAUAAGGAAGAACACCAGUGGCGAAGGCGGAUUACUGGACGAUAACUGGCGGUGAGGCGCGAAAGCGUGGGGAGCAAACAGG
RNAcentral lists this ribosomal RNA (253 nucleotides) under uncultured bacterium. Its description in RNAcentral is "partial 16S ribosomal RNA". It matches the Rfam family "Bacterial small subunit ribosomal RNA", at positions 524 to 776 of the family's 1533-position model. The record is from RNAcentral.